Molecule: RNase P RNA, 402 nt
Filed under: Bacillota bacterium
Lineage: Bacteria; Bacillati; Bacillota
Description: Firmicutes bacterium (anaerobic digester metagenome) RNase P RNA component class A
Rfam family: Bacterial RNase P class A
About the family: Ribonuclease P (RNase P) is a ubiquitous endoribonuclease, found in archaea, bacteria and eukarya as well as chloroplasts and mitochondria.
Source: RNAcentral
GGAGUAAGUGAAGCAGCCGCGGAAAUAUAUUUUCGAGGAAAGUCCGGGCUCCGUAGGGCAGGGUGCUGGGUAACGCCCAGUGGGGGUGACCCCAAGGAUAGUGCCACAGAAAAUAUACCGUCCAGCAUUCAAUUUAAGGAAACAGUAGCUUUUGCGAAGGCCGGUUUAUUCCCUGGUUUUUUGAAUUGAGUGCUGGAUAAGGGUGCAAUGGUACGGUAAGAGCGUACCAGCGGUCGGGAGACCGGCCGGCUAGGUAAACCCCACCUGGAGAAAGACCAAGCAGAAGGGGGAUGAGGUUGCCCGCUGACCCCUCGGGUAUGGUCGCUACAGGGGCCAGGCAACUGGCACCGCAGAUAGAUGGCUGCUACUUGACAGAACUCGGCUUACCAGCUUGCUCCAAUU